Molecule: ribosomal RNA, 729 nt
Filed under: Peribacillus simplex
Lineage: Bacteria; Bacillati; Bacillota; Bacilli; Caryophanales; Bacillaceae
Description: bacterial SSU rRNA
Rfam family: Bacterial small subunit ribosomal RNA
Source: RNAcentral
UGCAAGUCGAGCGAAUCGACGGGAGCUUGCUCCCUGAGAUUAGCGGCGGACGGGUGAGUAACACGUGGGCAACCUGCCUAUAAGACUGGGAUAACUUCGGGAAACCGGAGCUAAUACCGGAUACGUUCUUUUCUCGCAUGAGAGAAGAUGGAAAGACGGUUUACGCUGUCACUUAUAGAUGGGCCCGCGGCGCAUUAGCUAGUUGGUGAGGUAAUGGCUCACCAAGGCGACGAUGCGUAGCCGACCUGAGAGGGUGAUCGGCCACACUGGGACUGAGACACGGCCCAGACUCCUACGGGAGGCAGCAGUAGGGAAUCUUCCGCAAUGGACGAAAGUCUGACGGAGCAACGCCGCGUGAACGAAGAAGGCCUUCGGGUCGUAAAGUUCUGUUGUUAGGGAAGAACAAGUACCAGAGUAACUGCUGGUACCUUGACGGUACCUAACCAGAAAGCCACGGCUAACUACGUGCCAGCAGCCGCGGUAAUACGUAGGUGGCAAGCGUUGUCCGGAAUUAUUGGGCGUAAAGCGCGCGCAGGUGGUUCCUUAAGUCUGAUGUGAAAGCCCACGGCUCAACCGUGGAGGGUCAUUGGAAACUGGGGAACUUGAGUGCAGAAGAGGAAAGUGGAAUUCCAAGUGUAGCGGUGAAAUGCGUAGAGAUUUGGAGGAACACCAGUGGCGAAGGCGACUUUCUGGUCUGUAACUGACACUGAGGCGCGAAAGCGUGGGGAG